Non-coding RNA from Podarcis lilfordi (Lilford's wall lizard), 203 nucleotides. NCBI's taxonomy places the organism in Eukaryota, Metazoa, Chordata, Lepidosauria, Squamata, Lacertidae. The record is from the annotation of a GenBank genome assembly.
AUCUUUGAUGGAUUAUGUGGCCAUGGGUAUAGCAGUUUUAUUUUGUUUUGUUGAAUGUUAAAUCUUUAAAUAUACCGUGUGUGUGUGUGUGUGUGUGUGUGCGUGCGCGCGUGUGUGCGCGCACGCGCGUGUGCACACACACACACACACUGUAUUCAAGGGACCCAGUGAUGGAGUACACCUUCUGUGUAUCCUGGGCUUUA